This 412-nucleotide ribosomal RNA is filed under the name uncultured bacterium. RNAcentral's name for it is "bacterial SSU rRNA". It matches the Rfam family "Bacterial small subunit ribosomal RNA", at positions 8 to 422 of the family's 1533-position model. The record is from RNAcentral.
AGAGUUUGAUCCUGGCUCAGAUUGAACGCUGGCGGCAUGCCUUACACAUGCAAGUCGAACGGCAGCACGGGAGCAAUCCUGGUGGCGAGUGGCGAACGGGUGAGUAAUAUAUCGGAACGUGCCCAGUCGUGGGGGAUAACGUAGCGAAAGCUACGCUAAUACCGCAUACGAUCUAUGGAUGAAAGCGGGGGAUCGCAAGACCUCGCGCGAUUGGAGCGGCCGAUAUCAGAUUAGCUAGUUGGUGGGGUAAAGGCCCACCAAGGCGACGAUCUGUAGCCGGUCUGAGAGGACGACCAGCCACACUGGAACUGAGACACGGUCCAGACUCCUACGGGAGGCAGCAGUGGGGAAUUUUGGACAAUGGGCGCAAGCCUGAUCCAGCAAUGCCGCGUGCAGGACGAAGGCCUUCGGG